This 830-nucleotide ribosomal RNA is filed under the name Levilactobacillus brevis. RNAcentral describes it as "bacterial SSU rRNA". It matches the Rfam family "Bacterial small subunit ribosomal RNA", at positions 38 to 830 of the family's 1533-position model. Lineage: Bacteria; Bacillati; Bacillota; Bacilli; Lactobacillales; Lactobacillaceae. The record is from RNAcentral.
AAAGGGAAGUACCAAAAAUACUGCAAGUCGAACGAGCUUCCGUUGAAUGACGUGCUUGCACUGAUUUCAACAAUGAAGCGAGUGGCGAACUGGUGAGUAACACGUGGGAAAUCUGCCCAGAAGCAGGGGAUAACACUUGGAAACAGGUGCUAAUACCGUAUAACAACAAAAUCCGCAUGGAUUUUGUUUGAAAGGUGGCUUCGGCUAUCACUUCUGGAUGAUCCCGCGGCGUAUUAGUUAGUUGGUGAGGUAAAGGCCCACCAAGACGAUGAUACGUAGCCGACCUGAGAGGGUAAUCGGCCACAUUGGGACUGAGACACGGCCCAAACUCCUACGGGAGGCAGCAGUAGGGAAUCUUCCACAAUGGACGAAAGUCUGAUGGAGCAAUGCCGCGUGAGUGAAGAAGGGUUUCGGCUCGUAAAACUCUGUUGUUAAAGAAGAACACCUUUGAGAGUAACUGUUCAAGGGUUGACGGUAUUUAACCAGAAAGCCACGGCUAACUACGUGCCAGCAGCCGCGGUAAUACGUAGGUGGCAAGCGUUGUCCGGAUUUAUUGGGCGUAAAGCGAGCGCAGGCGGUUUUUUAAGUCUGAUGUGAAAGCCUUCGGCUUAACCGGAGAAGUGCAUCGGAAACUGGGAGACUUGAGUGCAGAAGAGGACAGUGGAACUCCAUGUGUAGCGGUGGAAUGCGUAGAUAUAUGGAAGAACACCAGUGGCGAAGGCGGCUGUCUAGUCUGUAACUGACGCUGAGGCUCGAAAGCAUGGGUAGCGAACAGGAUUAGAUACCCUGGUAGUCCAUGCCGUAAACGAUGAGUGCUAAGUGUUGGAGGG